Molecule: ribosomal RNA, 459 nt
Filed under: uncultured bacterium
Lineage: Bacteria
Description: partial 16S ribosomal RNA
Rfam family: Bacterial small subunit ribosomal RNA
Source: RNAcentral
CUACGGGAGGCAGCAGUAAGGAAUAUUGGUCAAUGGACGAAAGUCUGAACCAGCCAUGCCGCGUGAAGGAUUAAGGUCCUCUGGAUUGUAAACUUCUUUUAUAUGGGACGAAAAAAGGUCUUUCUAGAUCACUUGACGGUACCAUAUGAAUAAGCACCGGCUAACUCCGUGCCAGCAGCCGCGGUAAUACGGAGGGUGCAAGCGUUAUCCGGAUUCACUGGGUUUAAAGGGUGCGUAGGCGGGCAGGUAAGUCAGUGGUGAAAUCCUGGAGCUCAACUCCAGAACUGCCAUUGAUACUAUCUGUCUUGAAUAUUGUGGAGGUAAGCGGAAUAUGUCAUGUAGCGGUGAAAUGCUUAGAUAUGACAUAGAACACCCAUUGCGAAGGCAGCUUACUACGCAUAUAUUGACGCUGAGGCACGAAAGCGUGGGGAUCAAACAGGAUUAGAUACCCCCGUAGUC